RNAcentral lists this ribosomal RNA (496 nucleotides) under uncultured bacterium. RNAcentral's name for it is "partial 16S ribosomal RNA". It matches the Rfam family "Bacterial small subunit ribosomal RNA", at positions 29 to 507 of the family's 1533-position model. The record is from RNAcentral.
AUGAACGCUGGCGGCGUGCCUAAUACAUGCAAGUCGAGCGAACGGACGAGAAGCUUGCUUCUCUGAUGUUAGCGGCGGACGGGUGAGUAACACGUGGAUAACCUACCUAUAAGACUGGGAUAACUUCGGGAAACCGGAGCUAAUACCGGAUAAUAUUUUGAACCGCAUGGUUCAAAAGUAAAAGACGGUCUUGCUGUCACUUAUAGAUGGAUCCGCGCUGCAUUAGCUAGUUGGUAAGGUAACGGCUUACCAAGGCAACGAUGCAUAGCCGACCUGAGAGGGUGAUCGGCCACACUGGAACUGAGACACGGUCCAGACUCCUACGGGAGGCAGCAGUAGGGAAUCUUCCGCAAUGGGCGAAAGCCUGACGGAGCAACGCCGCGUGAGUGAUUAAGGUCUUCGGAUCGUAAAACUCUGUUAUUAGGGAAGAACAUAUGUGUAAGUAACUGUGCACAUCUUGACGGUACCUAAUCAGAAAGCCACGGCUAACUACGUG